This 467-nucleotide ribosomal RNA is filed under the name uncultured bacterium. Its description in RNAcentral is "partial 16S ribosomal RNA". It matches the Rfam family "Bacterial small subunit ribosomal RNA", at positions 29 to 507 of the family's 1533-position model. The record is from RNAcentral.
ACGAACGCUGGCGGCGUGCUUCACCCAUGCCAGUCGCACGGAAAGGCCCUGCUUUUGUGGGGUGCUCGAGUGGCGAACGGGUGAGUAACACGUGAGUAACCUGCCCUUGACUUUGGGAUAACUUCAGGAAACUGGGGCUAAUACCGGAUAGGAGCUCCUGCUGCAUGGUGGGGGUUGGAAAGUUUCGGCGGUUGGGGAUGGACUCGCGGCUUAUCAGCUUGUUGGUGGGGUAGUGGCUUACCAAGGCUUUGACGGGUAGCCGGCCUGAGAGGGUGACCGGCCACAUUGGGACUGAGAUACGGCCCAGACUCCUACGGGAGGAAGCAGUGGGGAAUAUUGCACAAUGGGCGGAAGCCUGAUGCAGCAACGCCGCGUGCGGGAUGACGGCCUUCGGGUUGUAAACCGCUUUCGCCUGUGACGAAGCGUGAGUGACGGUAAUGGGUAAAGAAGCACCGGCUAACUACGUG